Molecule: long non-coding RNA, 2200 nt
Organism: Salvelinus fontinalis (brook trout)
Lineage: Eukaryota; Metazoa; Chordata; Actinopteri; Salmoniformes; Salmonidae
Exons: 2
Source: RefSeq, a predicted model, not a curated record
AAGAGGACACCACUGCUCCCACUGUGGAAAGGGUUUUAAACAGUUACGGGACCUGAAACAACAUGAGAGAAUACAUACAGGAGAAAAGCCGUACCACUGCUCCCAGUGUGGAAAAAGUUUUGCCCAGUUAUGUAACCUGAAAACACAUGAGAGAAUACACACAGGGGAGAAGCUUUACCACUGCUCCCAGUGUGAAAAGAGUUUUAAGGAGUUGGGUAACCUGAGAAGACAUGAGAUAAACCACACAGGAGGUAAGGAUGUAGGCCUCUGAACAGUAGGACAUAGGAAAGAUGUAGGCCUCUGAACAGUAGGACAUAGGACAGGAGAAUGCCCAAUACAUGGUGGGACAGAUGAGUCCAAAUUUAAUUCCAACCACCAUGUCUUUGUGAGAUGCAGAGUAGGUGAACGGAUGAUCUCCGCAUGUGGGGUUCCCACCGCGAAGCAUAGAGGAGGAGGUGUGUGGGUGCUUUGCUGUUGAGACUGUCAGUGAUUUUAUUUUGAGUUAAUGGCACACUUAACCAGCAUGGCUACCACAGCAUUCUGCAGCGAUAUCCCGUCUGUUUUGGGCUUAGUGGGACUAUCAUUUGUUUUUCAACAGGACAAUGACCCAACACACCUCCAGGCUGUGUAAGGGCUAUUUGACAAAGAAGGAGAGUGUUGGAGUGCUGCAUCAGAUGACCUGGCCUCCACAAUCACCUGACCUCAAUCCAAUUGAGCUGGUUUGGGAUGAAUUGGACCGCAGAGGUUAGGAAAAGUGGCCAACAGCAUUAUCAGCGUGUGUUGGAACUCCUACAAGACUGUUGGAAAAGCAUUCCAGGUGAAGCUGGUUGAGAGAAUGCCAAGAGUGUGCAAAGCUGUCAUCAAGGCAAAAGGUGGCAAGUUUGAAGAAUCUAAAAUAUAUUUUGAUUUAUUUAACACUUUUUUUGGUUACUGAUUCCAUAUGUGUUAUUUCAUAGUGAAAAUAAAGAAAAACCCUUGAAUGAGUAGGUGUGUCCAAACUUUUGACUGGUGCUGUCCAUAAAAUCCCCUGGCAACCACCUCAAUGGACAUUCCUGCAGUCAGCAUGCCAAUUGCCCGCUGUGUUGUGUGACAGAACUGCACAUUUUUGUGGCCUUUUAUUGUCCCUGGCACAAGGUGCACAUGUGUAAUGAUAAUGCUGUUUAAUCAGAUUCUUGAUAUGCCACACCUGUCAGGUGGAUGGAUUAUCUUGGCAAAGGAUAAAUGUUCACUAUCAGGGAUGUACCACUGCUCCCAUUGUGGAAAGAGUUUUAACAUGUUAGGAAACAUGAAAUAUCAUGAGCGAAAUACACACAGGGGAGAAGCCAUACCAUUGCGUUCAGUGUGGAAGGAUUUUUACGGAGUUAGGGAAGCAGAAAGCUCAUACACACAGGGAGCGUAUACACACAGGGAGAAAGAAGCCUUACAAAUUUCACUUUUCAAUCCAAGGUGCUACCCAGAACGAAGGCACCGUCCACCAGACAGACUGGACUUAUAAACAAACAAACAAAAACGAAUUGUUCAAGUUCAAAUUAAAAGAUGCAAAACAACUACAACAAGUUCUGGGACAUGUUUCAGUUGUGGUUUGGUUAAAGUCUGAUUGAAUAAGAGAAGGAAUGUUCUGUUAAUUACUGAUGUCCCCUUUAAGAACGGAGCACCCUUGGUCAUGCGCAGUGUUGUUCUAUGUUAAUCUGGUACUAACUCGUUUUAGUAAAUGUGAAGCUGCAGUUCCAUUCCUUGUAUGCGGAGUCUUAUGAUAUAAAUAAGUAAUAAGAGCUAAGACAAAGACAAAGACACACAACAGUUAUUAUAGAAAUAUUUGCGCAUAAAGCCGUUUCCACAGCCAUUUCUCGCUUAGACAUUUUUACUGACACAAAAAGACAACUAACAACUUGUCAAACAAACUAACAAAUUGUCUGUUGGCAUUUAUAAAAGUGCAUAUCCUGUUUCCGUCAGCCCGGUCAUUACUUUUGAAAUGGUUGGAUCAAUAUCCACCUACAUGAUAUGGAUGAAGCCUGAUUUGGAAUGUCUGAGUAGUUCUAUCUGAUGUCAUAAUACACCCCUCUGAUAAUCAUAUGAUAUUUGGAAUGUCUGAGUAGUUCAAUCUGAUGUCAUAAUUCACUCCUCUGAUAAUCAUAUGAUAUUUGGAAUGUCUGAGUAGUUCUAUCUGAUGUCAUAAUACACCCCUCUGAUAAUCAUAUGA